CGGCCGCUCUCUAGCUGCCAUCUUGCGUCCCCGCGUGUGUGCGCUUAUUCUCAGCUGGUCUGCCCAAGACCCCCUGAGCGCCAACCCUAGUCCCCCGCGCGGCCCCGUUUCCUCUCCAACAAGAUGAAAGAAACUAUCAUGAACCAGGAGAAACUCGCCAAACUGCAGGCACAAGUGCGCAUUGGUGGGAAAGGAACUGCUCGUAGAAAGAAGAAGGUGGUUCACAGAACAGCUACAGCAGAUGAUAAAAAACUUCAGUUCUCCUUAAAGAAGUUAGGGGUAAAUAAUAUUUCUGGUAUUGAGGAGGUAAAUAUGUUCACAAACCAAGGAACAGUGAUCCACUUUAACAAUCCUAAAGUUCAGGCAUCUCUGGCAGCGAACACUUUCACCAUUACAGGCCAUGCUGAGACAAAGCAGCUGACAGAAAUGCUACCCAGCAUCUUAAACCAGCUUGGUGCAGACAGUCUGACUAGUUUAAGGAGACUGGCUGAAGCUCUGCCCAAACAAUCUGUGGAUGGAAAAGCACCACUUGCUACUGGAGAGGAUGAUGAUGAUGAAGUUCCAGAUCUUGUGGAGAAUUUUGAUGAGGCUUCCAAGAAUGAGGCAAACUGAAUUGAGUCAACUUCUGAAGAAGAUAAUCUUGAAGAAGUUACUGGGAGCUAUUCUAUAUUAUGACUGCUUUUUUCAAAUUUUGUUUAUGGAUCUGAUAAAAUCUAGAUCUCUAAUAUUUUUUAGCCCAACCCCCCUGGACAUUGCAGCUCUUUUCAGUUUUUGCUUAUACAUAAAUCAUUCUUUGCAGCUAAUUAAGCUGAAGAGGCCUGGGAAUAAAGUUUGAAACAGGUGAUGCUGAUGUUGCAGGUACACUGACCAUGCUUUGAAUAGCACAAUUGGAGAUGUUCUGUAUUCAUCCCAAGAAAUUGGGGUGAUUGACAGGCUGACGUUGAGUAUUUGAAGAAUGCCACUAUCUGAA
Molecule: RNA transcript, 970 nt
Organism: Molossus molossus (Pallas's mastiff bat)
Lineage: Eukaryota; Metazoa; Chordata; Mammalia; Chiroptera; Molossidae
Gene: BTF3
Gene name: basic transcription factor 3
Exons: 7
Source: RefSeq, a predicted model, not a curated record